UGCCUCUCCUGCUAACAUACAAUCGCAUUCAGAGAGUGUUGCCUGUGAACACUUACGUCAGUGCGUGCAUGACGGUCAGCCAUAUUGAGGGAACUGUGGAGAUCUCUUCAUGGGUUGCUGGCAAGGGAGUAUUGCCAACUGCAAAAUUUACAACUAUUUGGUCAAAGAAUCGGUUAGGUGGUAGGUGAAGCUAUGCAAAAAUGCCGCUAUGUUGGACAAGAACAUCCACCAGUUACUCGUUCAAAGAUUUUCCGUGCUGGGCUGAUAUGAUUUUCCACCAAAUUUAGUGGAAAACCCACUGAAUUAGCAAUGCUGUGGAGUGAGAAAUGUUGUUGGAACACUCUCAUACGCGGAAAAUUUGAGUGCGACUGGAACUCGCAGUGAGCGUUUAGCACCACCGCCAAGUUACGCUAGCCCUCGCUGCGAGUAUUUAGCAACGAAAGAGUUAAGAAGUAAAAUUUUAAUGCUCACUAUUUCUCCACCAAGAGGAACCUGCACACUGACUCACCUCACCCACGACUAUACUGAAACCAAACUGGUGAGAUCGUUUUGGCAUUGGCUUCUGCGGGUCCUUUCCUCCCCAGCGCUCUGCCACACAGUCCCAACACCUAUUUGUUCCUCUAACACAUGAGAGGAAGAGACAGGUGUUAGGAUUCCAUGUUCGAGCAUCAGGGAGGAAAGGACCAACAGUAGUCAACACAAAAACGAUCUCUCCAAUCUUUUUCCCUUAUAGUUAUUCACGCAUGGCACUGACUCGUAAUCCUGUUGUUAGUUGCUCGGUUCCAAAGAGUUGUACAUACACACACUGCCUACAGAUAUUUGUCUCUUUGUGCUAGCUGAUUAUAGACGUACUUGUGUCACUCCUCAUUAUACUCAUCCAAGAACUUUAACUUUUGCAUGAGUAUAUAAAGAAUUAAUUAUGUGAUUAUCGUUGUUCAGCUCCAAAGAGUCGUAUACUGUGCACUGCCUAUAUAUAUUUCUCUCUGGUUGGUGUUCUCAGAUGCUUCCGCCUCUCACGACAACUAUAUUCAAAGGCCGAAAAAGAGAUCAAAUGCGUUGCAGUGAGUGAUUCUGUAGGUUCAUGGCGCAAAAGAUAGGUCAGACUACCAGGUCGUAAAACUACCCCUGGAAAUGCCCACAACACUAACGAAAGCCCAUGUGUGCUCGGGUGGCAAAACGUUUAGGAAUAUGACCCUUUGUGUUAACUGAUCUUACUUACGUACUUGUGUCACUCAUAUGUUCUGCUUGCUGGAGUUGUUAGGUUCCAAGGAGAUGCAUACACACUGCCCAUGAACAUCUCUUUGUGUCAUCUGCUUCUUUACUUGUUUUAGGUUCCAAGAUACAUACACACUGCCCAUGAACAUCUCUUUGUGUCAACUGGUUCUUUACUUGUUUUAGGUUCCAAGAUACAUAGACACUGCCCAUGAAUAUCUCUUUGUGUCAACUGCUUCUCGACUUGCUUGUUUUAGGUUCCAAGAUACAUACACACUACCCAUGAAUAUCUCUUUGUGUCAACUGCAUCUCGACUUGUUUUAGGUUCCAAGAUACAUACACACUGCCCAUGAAUAUCUCUUUGUGUCAACUGCAUCUCGACUUGUUUUAGGUUCCAAGAUACAUAGACACUGCCCAUGAAUAUCUCUUUGUGUCAACUGCUUCUUUACUUGUUUUAGGUUCCAAGAUACAUAGACACUGCCCAUGAAUAUCUCUCUGUGUCAACUGCUUCUCGACUUGCUUGUUUUACUCUUCAUUACGUCCUAGUUGCUUGAGGUGGCUUGUACAGACUAACGUGGAUGGGGUAUUUUGUUAGCUCAUUUGUG
Molecule: long non-coding RNA, 1817 nt
Organism: Eriocheir sinensis (Chinese mitten crab)
Lineage: Eukaryota; Metazoa; Arthropoda; Malacostraca; Decapoda; Varunidae
Exons: 3
Source: RefSeq, a predicted model, not a curated record